GGUGAAGUCUUUUGGUCAGGGGCAGUGGAGGCAGUCAGUUCCCCUUGAGACGAGACUGCCUGAGUAGGGGUGAAUGACCCACUACUAGCCGUCAGCGGCUGGAAAUAAGGAGGAUACUGGUAGUGUUGAGGCCCAUACAUCUGGCCAUCAUUCACCAAUGUUGGAACUGGGGAAGUUGCAGGUGAAUAUGGGCCAUACGGUGCAUAUCCAUAA
This 213-nucleotide unclassified non-coding RNA is filed under the name Hevea brasiliensis (rubber tree). The record is from RNAcentral. Lineage: Eukaryota; Viridiplantae; Streptophyta; Magnoliopsida; Malpighiales; Euphorbiaceae.